UACGUAGGUGGCAAGCGUUAUCCGGAUUUACUGGGCGUAAAGAGAGCGCUGGCGGUCUUUUAAGUCGGAUGUGAAAUCUCUCGGCUUAACCGGGAUGGGUCAUUCGAUACUGGGAGACUUGAGAGCAACAGGGGGAGGUGGAAUUCCCGGUGUAGUGGUGAAAUGCGUAGAUAUCGGGAGGAACACCAGUGGCGAAAGCGGCCUCCUGGGUUGUUUCUGACGCUUAUGCUCGAAAGUGUGGGGAG
This 245-nucleotide ribosomal RNA is filed under the name uncultured bacterium. Its description in RNAcentral is "partial 16S ribosomal RNA". It matches the Rfam family "Bacterial small subunit ribosomal RNA", at positions 524 to 768 of the family's 1533-position model. The record is from RNAcentral.